Molecule: ribosomal RNA, 486 nt
Filed under: uncultured bacterium
Lineage: Bacteria
Description: partial 16S ribosomal RNA
Rfam family: Bacterial small subunit ribosomal RNA
Source: RNAcentral
AUUGAACGCUGGCGGCAUGCCUUACACAUGCAAGUCGAACGGCAGCACGGGUGCUUGCACCUGGUGGCGAGUGGCGAACGGGUGAGUAAUACAUCGGAACAUGUCCUGUAGUUGGGGAUAGCCCGGCGAAAGCCGGAUUAAUACCGCAUACGAUCUACGGAUGAAAGCGGGGGACCUUCGGGCCUCGCGCUAUAGGGUUGGCCGAUGGCUGAUUAGCUAGUUGGUGGGGUAAAGGCCUACCAAGGCGACGAUCAGUAGCUGGUCUGAGAGGACGACCAGCCACACUGGGACUGAGACACGGCCCAGACUCCUACGGGAGGCAGCAGUGGGGAAUUUUGGACAAUGGGCGAAAGCCUGAUCCAGCAAUGCCGCGUGUGUGAAGAAGGCCUUCGGGUUGUAAAUCACUUUUGUCCGGAAAGAAAUCCUUGGCCCUAAUACGGUCGGGGGAUGACGGUACCGGAAGAAUAAGCACCGGCUAACUACGUG